GGAUCUGAGGGUGAUCUGAUGGUGAUGUCACCCAUUGAUCACCAGGGUUUACAUGGAUCUGCUUGGGGUGUCUCCUUCCUCCUUCACUGCUCCAUGUGCACUCCUCCCCAAGCUGCAUGCUUGGUGGAAGAGAAACAACUUUAGUGGAAUAGAGACCAGCUGAUCUUCUGUAAAGGGUAUACAAGUAUGAAUCCUCAUAGUAAUUCAUACCUUUCAGAUAGUAGUUUCCAUGCUGUGGUUAUUUAAAUACUUUAAUUAUAUUAUAUAUUAUCUUCAAAUUAUUAAAAGAUUGUAAAU
This is a non-coding RNA of Erinaceus europaeus (western European hedgehog), 297 nucleotides long. Lineage: Eukaryota; Metazoa; Chordata; Mammalia; Eulipotyphla; Erinaceidae. The record is from Rfam.